GGGGAAUCUUCCGCAAUGGACGAAAGUCUGACGGAGCAACGCCGCGUGAGUGAUGACGGCCUUCGGGUUGUAAAGCUCUGUUAAUCGGGACGAAUGGUUCUUGUGCGAAUAGUGCGAGGAUUUGACGGUACCGGAAUAGAAAGCCACGGCUAACUACGUGCCAGCAGCCGCGGUAAUACGUAGGUGGCAAGCGUUGUCCGGAAUUAUUGGGCGUAAAGCGCGCGCAGGCGGAUUGGUCAGUCUGUCUUAAAAGUUCGGGGCUUAACCCCGUGAUGGGAUGGAAACUGCCAAUCUAGAGUAUCGGAGAGGAAAGUGGAAUUCCUAGUGUAGCGGUGAAAUGCGUAGAUAUUAGGAAGAACACCAGUGGCGAAGGCGACUUUCUGGACGAAAACUGACGCUGAGGCGCGAAAGCCAGGGGAGCGAACGGGAUUAGAUACCCCGGUAGUCCUGGCCGUAAACGAUGGGUACUAGGUGUAGGAGGUAUCGACCCCUUCUGUGCCGGAGUUAACGCAAUAAGUACCCCGCCUGGGGGGUACGACCGCAAGGUUG
RNAcentral lists this ribosomal RNA (549 nucleotides) under uncultured bacterium. Its description in RNAcentral is "bacterial SSU rRNA". It matches the Rfam family "Bacterial small subunit ribosomal RNA", at positions 356 to 896 of the family's 1533-position model. The record is from RNAcentral.